GUGUGUGUGUGUGUGUGUGCGUAUGUGUGCGUGUGCACAUGUGCCCAUGCAUGCGUGACAUGUGUGGCAGGGGUGUGAGGGAACUUGUUCAGACCAAAGCAAUUAACUAUGCCAGCCUGAACAGGAAGUGGUGUAACACAGAGAUGAGUCAGAGACCAGUGGCUUGAUUAAUGCCUUUAGGAAGAGCUAAUUUAGAGCAAUAUCCCAAGAGGCAUACCUGUUUGUUCAAAUCAAAUAGGAUAGAUAGGAUAUUUUUUAAAAAGGGACAAAGAGAAGAUGUUAUGUUUUGGUAUAAUUUUGAGACACAUAUUAUACCAAAAAAAAGAAGCUAUGUUUUGGUAUAAUUUUGAGACACAUAAUUUUGAGACACAUAUAGGGUGGGGUUUCUUGUCUGCUUUUUACAUUGCUUCUAUAUUUGCACUUCAGGUGAUUUGAUUACAAUUUCAAAUUACAGCAGUUAUCUUCUAACUGUCUAAAAUUGAAUUGAAUUAAUAACUGAGGAAACUCCUUUGAGUUACUCUGAUCUUGUCACAUUGAUUUUAAAUUUUCAUUGAAGCAAUGCACAGAUAAAAUUGCUCUUUUGAACAUAAUAGGACAUUUGUUCACAAUGAUCACUACAUUGAAAUAGCCCCUAAAACUGUAUAGUUAUCAUUAGAAUUAAUAUAACCAAUGAAAUAUAUGCGAUUCCUUACAAUAAUAUAACUAAGUGCUAUUUAAUAAGUAAAAAAUACUUUAUAUGUAAAUAUAGUUACAAAUUAUAUACAGACAUAACAGUGUCUUUAAGCAAUCAUGGGCUCAGUGGUACUGACAAAGAUACAACAAAUAUUAUGGAUUCACUGUGGUGUAAGACAGUGUCAUCAUUACUUUCAGCAUUAGUGUACUUAUCACAAUACUUCUUCUCUUGCAGCAUAAAAUGUUUCCUGCAAGGCACAGCUGGCCUAUGAAGAAUGGACGAAGCUCUGCAUUUCACCAAAGGCACACCCUCAUCAAGUGUGACACCCCAAAUAAUGCACACUGAGGGAAAUGACUGAAGGGCAGGUGACUGUCUGGUGAGAAGGCCACAAGCUGAUUUAUGGGAGGCUUUUAGCUGCUGUGAUUUCAUGGUAAUGCCGGGGAAGUGACGGGCAGACCUCGGCAGCAGUGAAGCCAGUCACACUGCAGUGGGGGCACCAGUGGGGAAUGGAUUAAGAGGGCAAGAUGUAAGCAAAAAAUCUCCUGCAAGGAGCUUUCCUCUGCAGAAUGGACGAGACUCUGUAUUUCACCAAAGGCACACCCUCAUCAAGUGUGACACCCCAAAUAAUGCACACUGAGGGAGAUGACUGAAGGGCAGGUUACUGUCUGGUGAGAAGGCCACAAGCUGAUUUAUGGGAGGCUUUUAGCUGCUGUGAUUUCAUGGUAAUUCCGGGGAAGUGACGGGCAGACCUCGGCAGCAGUGAAGCCAGUCACACUGCAGUGGGGGCACCAGUGGGGAAUGGAUUAAGAGGGCAAGAUGUAAG
This is a long non-coding RNA of Anguilla anguilla (European eel), 1496 nucleotides long. RefSeq lists it as uncharacterized. NCBI's taxonomy places the organism in Eukaryota, Metazoa, Chordata, Actinopteri, Anguilliformes, Anguillidae. The transcript is spliced from 4 exons. The record is from RefSeq and is a predicted model, not a curated record.